This is a long non-coding RNA of Gopherus flavomarginatus (Mexican gopher tortoise), 1615 nucleotides long. RefSeq lists it as uncharacterized. The transcript has 5 exons. NCBI's taxonomy places the organism in Eukaryota, Metazoa, Chordata, Testudines, Testudinidae. The record is from RefSeq and is a predicted model, not a curated record.
CACGCCUGGGCGGGGACGAGAAUUAGAGUGGUGCCAGCGUGCUCAGUGGAGGAGGCGGAGCCGAGUACCAAGGAAGACUCCCAUCAAGGACCAGAAAGCAAUAUUUCUCAUCAUCUAACAUCAAGGCAGCUGACAGCUGGCCCCUGCCUGUCUUAUCUUUCCAACUCAAUAGCAGACAAGACCUUCCUCAGAGAGACUUGGGGAUGAGGAAUGAACACAACAUUUUGCAAAACAGCACAAAGCAGCUUGGCAUCAUGUAAAAAGAAAAGCCAGCUUUAAAAAAAAAACAAUUGGAUGACUUCUUGUUGGAUCAGUUAGAUUGCACGUUACUCAUUUACAAAGGAAUAUAAAGAUGGAUGUCGUAUAUUUUCAGUGCUUGGACAAUAUUUAAGGACUUCUGGAAAAAUGUGAGAAGGACAGGUGGGUCUGGAGUAAUGGAUAGCCAGUGACCUUUCAUAACUUUUAGGAAGGAAAACCAUCAGCAAACCAGACAGCUCAACUGAGAUGUGUUCUUGUACAAAAAUAAAAUAAAAUAAAAAUAAAAAAGGAAAAAUGGGUGACAAGACAGUGCAGUCAGGAUUACAAAGAGACAUAUGUUUGUUCUAUUCCUUUGAUAACUGACUUUGCCUCUCAGAACCCAAAGUUUUCAAAUAUUCCAGUAUCUGCUUUGGAAAAAGGGGGAUGUGAUGGAGGUGGCACAUGGUCAGAAAAGUCAUUGCAAUCUAGAAAGAAAAGCUGUUAGCCAAAUUAUAUUAAAUAUCAUAUUAAUAGAGGAAAGUAUUCUAGCAAGUAUUCUAAAUCCAUCUCUAUUUUCCUUCUAGAGAGCUAAAUCCAUGUAAACCUUGCCAGAGCUGAUAAAAAACAAUGGACAAGCUGAGAAGUGCCCAGGUUUUUAAUUCACUGGGAGAUUUCAUGCAUUUCCCCAUAAAUUUGCCUGACAGCUCACAGUGGUCUCUCUUUAAACAUUUACCUUUACCAUUUGGAAGUAAUUAGCCUUACCACAUUAUUAGAGGCAGCUGGCACAGGUCAGUAGUAUGGGCAUUGGCUCAGCAACCAGUGCUGUAGUGGUAAAAAAAAAAGAAAAAGAAAUGAGUAAACACCUAAACUAAACUCCACAGUCCCCAGAGGAGAAGUGGGUAAACUUAAUUUGCCCUCGACUUCACUAGUGUCUGCAGUUACCCAGAUCCACUGGUCUAAGUCCCCAUAAUAAGGGGUGGGUGUUGAGAACCUACUACCCAGUUGUGCUGGUGCCUGCUGCCUUGGGAAAGAAAGGAUUUCGUCGCCCUCUGCUCUUGUAACCAUCACCUGUGCAAGAUCCAGUUACUCAGACGUGGCACAGGGCUCUAGAAUUUUACUCUUCAAGGUCCUGAUCCUGCACAAUUGAAGUUAAUGAGAGUUUUGCCAUUGAAGUCAACAAGGGCAUUAGGCCCCAGUGUAAAGAGUCUGGGGUCUCAUGCAUAGCAUCAAAUGGAACCGUAUCCCAUUAUCAGGACAGGAGUCAAUAAAGAUUUAGAAAAUCUGGUGCAGCAGAGUAGGCCCUAAGCUCAUGCAGAGCUGCAAUAUGCCUUCACUUAGGUUUCUGUGUUCCUCUUAGGCCUACAAUUAAAUGCUCAGU